This is a long non-coding RNA of Oncorhynchus tshawytscha (Chinook salmon), 1196 nucleotides long. The record is from Ensembl. Lineage: Eukaryota; Metazoa; Chordata; Actinopteri; Salmoniformes; Salmonidae.
UGCCCCUAUAUCAGUGGGAAUGCUGUGUAGGCCAUGCCCCUAUAUCAGUGGGAAUGCUGUGUAGGCCAUGCCCCUAUAUCAGUGGGAAUGCUAUGUAGGCCAUGCCCCUAUAUCAGUGGGAAUGCUAUGUAGACCAUGCCCCUAUAUCAGUGGGAAUGCUGUGUAGGCCAUGCCCCUAUAUCAGUGGGAAUGCUAUGUAGGCCAUGCCCCUAUAUCAGUGGGAAUGCUAUGUAGGCCUAGUCCCUAUAUCAGUGGGAAUGCUAUGUAGGCCUAGCCCCUAUAUCAGUGGGAAUGCUAUGUAGGCCUAGCCCCUAUAUCAGUGGGAAUGCUGUGUAGGCCAUGCCCCUAUAUCAGUAGGAAUGCUGUGUAGGCCAUGCCUCUAUAUCAGUGGGAAUGCUGUGUAGGCCAUGCCCCUAUAUCAGUGGGAAUGCUACGUAGGCCAUGCCCCUAUAUCAGUGGGAAUGCUAUGUAGGCCAUGCCUCUAUAUCAGUGGGAAUGCUGUGUAGGCCAUGCCCCUAUAUCAGUGGGAAUGCUGUGUGGGCCAUGCCCCUAUAUCAGUGGGAAUGCUAUGUAGGCCAUGCCCCUAUAUCAGUGGGAAUGCUAUGUAGGCCAUGCCCCUAUAUCAGUAGGAAUGCUGUGUAGGCCAUGCCUCUAUAUCAGUGGGAAUGCUGUGUAGGCCAUGCCCCUAUAUCAGUGGGAAUGCUAUGUAGGCCAUGCCCCUAUAUCAGUGGGAAUGCUGUGUAGGCCAUGCUCCUAUAUCAGUGGGAAUGCUAUGUAGGUCAUGCCCCUAUAUCAGUAGGAAUGCUAUGUCGGCCAUGCCCCUAUAUCAGUGGGAAUGCUGUGUAGGCCAUGCCCCUAUAUCAGUAGGAAUGCUAUGUAGUUGUAGCCCCUAUAUCAGUGGGAAUGCUAUGUAGGCCAUGCCCCUAUAUCAGUAGGAAUGCUAUGUAGUUGUAGCCCCUAUAUCAGUGGGAAUGCUAUGUAGGCCAUGCCCCUAUAUCAGUAGGAAUGCUAUGUAGUCCUAGCCCCUAUAUUAGUAGAAAUGCUGUGUAGGCCAUGCCCCUAUAUCAGUGGGAAUGCUGUGUAGGCCAUGCCCCUAUAUCAGUGGGAAUGCUAUGUAGGCCAUGCCCCUAUAUCAGUGGGAAUGCUGUGUAGGCCAUGCCCCUAUAUCAGUGGGAAUGCUGUGUAGGCCAUGCCCC